Molecule: ribosomal RNA, 267 nt
Filed under: uncultured bacterium
Lineage: Bacteria
Description: partial 16S ribosomal RNA
Rfam family: Bacterial small subunit ribosomal RNA
Source: RNAcentral
GUCCACGCUGUAAACGAUGUGUGCUAGACGUUGGGGAGCCUAGCUCUUCGGUGUCGCAGCUAACGCUUUAAGCACACCGCCUGGGGAGUACGGCCGCAAGGUUAAAACUCAAAGGAAUUGACGGGGGCCCGCACAAGCGGUGGAGCAUGUGGUUUAAUUCGACGCAACGCGAAGAACCUUACCAGCCCUUGACAUGUCCGGUAUGGGUGGGGGAGACCUCUCCCUUCAGUUCGGCUGGCCGGAACACAGGUGCUGCAUGGCUGUCGU